RNAcentral lists this ribosomal RNA (1306 nucleotides) under uncultured bacterium. Its description in RNAcentral is "bacterial SSU rRNA". It matches the Rfam family "Bacterial small subunit ribosomal RNA", at positions 28 to 1381 of the family's 1533-position model. The record is from RNAcentral.
AACGUACGCUGGCGGCACGCCUAACACAUGCAAGUCGAACGAAGUAGCAAUACUUAGUGGCAGACGGGUGAGUAACAUGUAGGUAUCUGCCCUUUGGCCUGGAAUAACACGAGGAAACUUGUGCUAAUACCGGAUAAGUCUUUACGGAGAAAGCUUUAUGCACCAUUGGAUGAGCCUGCACUUGAUUAGUUUGUUGGUGGGGUAAUGGCCUACCAAGACUGUGAUCAAUAGCUGAUUUGAGAGGAUGAUCAGCCACAUUGGGACUGAGACACGGCCCAAACUCCUACGGGAGGCAGCAGUGGGGAAUCUUGCACAAUGGAGGAAACUCUGAUGCAGCGAUGCCGCGUGAGUGAAGAAGGCCCUUGGGUUGUAAAGCUCUUUCGUCGGGGAAGAAAAUGACUGUACCCGAAUAAGAAGGUCCGGCUAACUUCGUGCCAGCAGCCGCGGUAAUACGAAGGGACCUAGCGUAGUUCGGAAUUACUGGGCUUAAAGAGUUCGUAGGUGGUUGAAAAAGUUAGUGGUGAAAUCCCAGAGCUUAACUCUGGAACUGCCAUUAAAACUUUUCAGCUAGAGUAUGAUAGAGGAAAGCAGAAUUUCUAGUGUAGAGGUGAAAUUCGUAGAUAUUAGAAAGAAUACCAAUUGCGAAGGCAGCUUUCUGGAUCAUUACUGACACUGAGGAACGAAGGCAUGGGUAGCGAAGAGGAUUAGAUACCCUCGUAGUCCAUGCCGUAAACGAUGUGUGUUAGACGUUGGAAAUUUAUUUUCAGUGUCGCAGGGAAACCGAUAAACACACCGCCUGGGGAGUACGACCGCAAGGUUAAAACUCAAAUGAAUUGACGGGGACCCGCACAAGUAGUGGAGCAUGUGGUUUAAUUCGAAGAUACGCGCAAAACCUUACCAACACUUGACAUGUUCGUCGCGACUCUAAGAGAUUAGAGUUUUCGGUUCGGCCGGACGAAACACAGGUGCUGCAUGGCUGUCGUCAGCUCGUGUCGUGAGAUGUUGGGUUAAGUCCCGCAACGAGCGCAACCCUCACUUUUAGUUGCCAUCAUUAAGUUGGGCACUCUGAAAGAACUGCCAGUGAUAAGCUGGAGGAAGGUGGGGAUGACGUCAAGUCCUCAUGGCCCUUACGUGUUGGGCUACACACGUGCUACAAUGGUAUCUACAACAGGAAGCAAGACUGCGAAGUUAAGCAAAUCCCUAAAAGAUACCUCAGUUCGGAUUGCACUCUGCAACUCGAGUGCAUGAAGCUGGAAUUACUAGUAAUCGUGGAUCAGCGUGCCACGGUGAAUGCGUUCCCGGGUCU